AUGAGAGCCCUCCGUUUCGCACAUAACAACAACAUCGCCGAAGAUCCACCAUCGAAACUACCACGAUCCGACCGUCUCCCCUUCAAAUCCGGAGACAACCGCAACCGCCUCUGUGCAAUCAUCAUGAUUCUGCCCAGAUUCACAAAAUCAUUAUCCAUUGGCAUCCUCCAGUUUGUUUUCCAUUCUGAUUUUUAUUCAUGUGAUUUAAUUAAGACAUGUUUGAUUAAAUAA
Molecule: non-coding RNA, 231 nt
Organism: Vicia faba (fava bean)
Lineage: Eukaryota; Viridiplantae; Streptophyta; Magnoliopsida; Fabales; Fabaceae
Source: the annotation of a GenBank genome assembly